GCAAGUCGACUGGAAUUCUCUUCGGAGUUAGUACGGUGGCGGACGGGUGAGUAACGCGUAAAGAAUUUGCCCUCUAGACUGGGACAACUAACCGAAAGGUUAGCUAAUACCGGAUAUUAUGAGACCUUGGCAUCAAGGACUUAUGAAAGCUAUAUGCGCUAGAGGAGAACUUUGCGUCCCAUUAGCUAGUUGGUAGGGUAAUGGCCUACCAAGGCUGCGAUGGUUAGCUGGUCUGAGAGGAUGAUC
Molecule: ribosomal RNA, 246 nt
Filed under: uncultured bacterium
Lineage: Bacteria
Description: partial 16S ribosomal RNA
Rfam family: Bacterial small subunit ribosomal RNA
Source: RNAcentral